CUUGCCUUUUGCCAGCGUACGGGUGGAUCCCAGUUCUGGAAGUCCAUGAUUCAGCUUAUGCCCGUACUCCGCAUCGGCACAUCCAUCUUGGUUGGCUCCGGGGCCUCGACCCUGUUCUGGUUCGACCGUCAGCUAGGGGACUCCCCCUGGGCGCGAUUACCAGAACUCUUUGCCAUUGCCGUCGACCCUCGGGUCUCAUUCGAGAUGGCCCUUAUUGACUUAGGGUGUCUCGCCUUCCGGUGCCCAUUUGGCCCCCUCGAGGUGGCUGCUUGGGACUCCCUCCUCCAAGACAUCGCCCUUAUGCCGAUGAACGUUGAGGAGGACCGGGAUGCUCUUUCCUGGCGCCUUGAGCCCUCUGGCCGUUUCUCCACGAAGUCCCUGUACGCCACCAUUGCGCCCCCGGCGGCCCCGGAACCCUUUAGCCUGAUCUGGGACAUCCGCCUACCUCUGAAGAUCAGGAUUUUCCUGUGGCAAUGGAUCCAUGGACGCCUCCCUUCUAGGGUUGAAGUCCUCCAACAUAACGGCCCGGGCGAUGGGAUAUGCCCCAUCUGUGGCACGGUCGAGGAUGCUAACCACAUCUUUUUCUCGUGCUACACUGCCCAAUUCCUCUGGGCUUGCUUCCGUGAAACGGUUGGCGGACAGUGGUGCAAUACCAACUUCCCCGACUUGCUUGCUGAGCUCAACGCUUCCCCUAUACGCUACGGCCAUAUUAGAUGGUUAUGCAUUGGGAUUCUCGCCUGGACGCUUUGGAAUAUUCGCAAUAAGCUUGUUAUUCAGAAGGUGCCCCUCCGAUGUGCGACUGACGCAAUCUUCAAAAUGUGUGGUUAA
Molecule: ribosomal RNA, 828 nt
Filed under: Triticum aestivum (bread wheat)
Lineage: Eukaryota; Viridiplantae; Streptophyta; Magnoliopsida; Poales; Poaceae
Description: partial small subunit ribosomal RNA
Source: RNAcentral